Molecule: ribosomal RNA, 781 nt
Filed under: Nesticus ionescui
Lineage: Eukaryota; Metazoa; Arthropoda; Arachnida; Araneae; Nesticidae
Also listed under: 7 other names
Description: SSU rRNA
Rfam family: Eukaryotic small subunit ribosomal RNA
Source: RNAcentral
GAGGCUCGAAGGCGAUCAGAUACCGCCCUAGUUCUAACCAUAAACGAUGCCAGCCAGCGAUCCGGCUGUGUUCCUCAAAUGACACGCCGGGCAGCUUCCGGGAAACCAAAGCUUUUGGGUUCCGGGGGAAGUAUGGUUGCAAAGCUUAAACUUAAAGGAAUUGACGGAAGGGCACCACAAGCCAUGGAGCAUGCGGUUCAAUUUGACUCAACACGGGAAAUCUUAUCCGGCCCGGACACAGGAAGGAUUGACAGAUUAAGAGCUCUUUCUUGAUUCUGUGAGUGGUGGUGCAUGGCCGUUCUUAGUUGGUGGAGUGAUUUGUCUGCUUAAUUGCGAUAACGAACGAGACUCUAGCCUACUAAAUAGGCGUUCCGAUCCUCUUAGUCGGACGCUCUUCUUAGGGGGACAGGCGGCGACUAGCCGCACGAGACAGAGCAAUAACAGGUCUGUGAUGCCCUCAGAUGUCCGGGGCCACACGCGCGCUACAUUGAAGGAAUCAGCGUGUGCUUUCCCUGUCCGACAGGACUGGGUAACCCGUUGAACCUCCUUCGUGCUGGGGAUAGGGGCUUGCAAUUCUUCCCCUUGAACGAGGAAUGCCUAGUAAGCACGAGUCAUCAAUUCGUGUUGAUUAGGUCCCUGCCCUUUGUACACACCGCCCGUCGCUAUAAGCGAUUGAAUGGUUUAGUGAGGUCUUCGGACUGGCGCUCGAAUUGGCCUUCCGGUCGAGUCGACGUGCCGGAAAGAUGACCAAACUUGAUCAUUUAGAGCAUAUAAAAGUCGU